Molecule: non-coding RNA, 147 nt
Filed under: Homo sapiens (human)
Lineage: Eukaryota; Metazoa; Chordata; Mammalia; Primates; Hominidae
Source: Rfam by way of RNAcentral
GCUGGGCGUGGUGGCGCGUGCCUGUAAUCCCAGCUACUUAGGAAGCUGAGACAGGAGAAUCACUUGAACCGGGAGGCGGAGAUUGCAGUGAGCCGAGAUUGCGCCACUGCACUCCAGCCUGGUCAACAGAGCGAGACCCUGUCUCAA